GCCAAGUGAUGUUCAACAGAUUGCAUUAGCACUUGCAAAGAUGACCAUCUAUCUAUCACCCAUGGCUGAUGGCU
Molecule: small nucleolar RNA, 74 nt
Filed under: Atractosteus spatula (alligator gar)
Lineage: Eukaryota; Metazoa; Chordata; Actinopteri; Semionotiformes; Lepisosteidae
Also listed under: 1 other name
Description: Small nucleolar RNA SNORD83
Rfam family: Small nucleolar RNA SNORD83
About the family: U83 (SNORD83) and U84 (SNORD84) are members of the C/D class of snoRNA which contain the C (UGAUGA) and D (CUGA) box motifs. They act as guanine methylation guides but lack complementarity to ribosomal RNA. U83 and U84 are spliced from introns 5 and 4 of the BAT1 gene in mammals.
Source: Rfam by way of RNAcentral